GCACGGGUGAGUAACACGUGGGUAAUCUGCCUAGAGAUGGGGAAUAACUCCUCGAAAGAGGAGCUAAUACCGCAUAAGACCACAGCUGCUACGGCAGCAGGGGUUAAAAGUGAUCACUGUUUACAAAUUAUUGUCUCUAGAUGAGCCUGCGCACUAUUAGCUAGUUGGUGGGGUAAUGGCCCACCAAGGCUACGAUAGUUAGCUGGUCUGAGAGGAUGAUCAGCCACACUGGAACUGAGACACGGUCCAGACUCCUACGGGAGGCAGCAGUAGGGAAUAUUGCUCAAUGGGGGAAACCCUGAAGCAGCAACGCCGCGUGAGUGAUGAAGGCCUUCGGGUCGUAAAGCUCUGUUGUACGGGGAGAAUGCGGAUGUGGCUAAUAUCCACAUCCAGUGACAGUACCGUAUAAGAAAGGACCGGCUAACUUCGUGCCAGCAGCCGCGGUAAGACGGGGGGUCCAAGCGUUGUUCGGAAUCAUUGGGCGUAAAGCGUGUGCAGGUGGUUUUGUAAGUUAGAUGUGAAAGCCUCGGGCUUAACCCGAGAAGUGCAUUUAAAACUGCAGAACUUGAGUAAGGAAGAGGGUCGUGGAAUUCCAGGUGUAGUGGUGAAAUACGUAGAUAUCUGGAGGAACACCGGUGGCGA
Molecule: ribosomal RNA, 642 nt
Filed under: uncultured bacterium
Lineage: Bacteria
Description: bacterial SSU rRNA
Rfam family: Bacterial small subunit ribosomal RNA
Source: RNAcentral